UUAAUCUUGCGACCGUACUCCCCAGGCGGAAUGCUUAAUCCGUUAGGUGUGACACCAACAAGUAUACUUGCUGACGUCUGGCAUUCAUCGUUUACGGUGUGGACUACCAGGGUAUCUAAUCCUGUUUGCUCCCCACACUUUCGCACCUCAGCGUCAGUAUCGAGCCAGUAAGCCGCCUUCGCCACUGGUGUUCCUCCGAAUAUCUACGAAUUUCACCUCUACACUCGGAAUUCCACUUACCUCUCUCGAACUCAAGACUAGCAGUAUUAAAGGCAGUUCCAGGGUUGAGCCCUGGGAUUUCACCUCUAACUUACUAAUCCGCCUACGUGCGCUUUACGCCCAGUAAUUCCGAACAACGCUAACCCCCUCCGUAUUACCGCGGCUGCUGGCACGGAGUUAGCCGGGGUUUCUUUACCAGAUACUGUCAUUAUCAUCUCUGGCGAAAGUGCUUUACGACCCUAAGGCCUUCAUCACACACGCGGCAUGGCUAGAUCAGGGUUUCCCCCAUUGUCUAAGAUUCCCUACUGCUGCCUCCCGUAGGAGUCUGGGCCGUGUCUCAGUCCCAGUGUGGCUGAUCAUCCUCUCAAACCAGCUAUAGAUCGUAGGCUUGGUAGGCCAUUACCCCACCAACUACCUAAUCUAACGCGGGCUAAUCCUUCUCCGAUAAAUCUUUCCCCCGAAGGGCGUAUAAGGUAUUACUCUCAGUUUCCCGAGGCUAUUCCUUAGAGAAGGGCAUAUUCCCACGCGUUACUCACCCGUCCGCCGCUCAUCCCGAAGGAUGCGCUCGACUUGCAUGUAUUAGGCCUGCCGCCAGCGUUCGUUCUGAGCCAGGAUCAAACUCU
RNAcentral lists this ribosomal RNA (842 nucleotides) under uncultured bacterium. RNAcentral describes it as "partial 16S ribosomal RNA". The record is from RNAcentral.